UAACGCGUGAGUAACCUGCCUUACACUGGGGGAUAACACUUAGAAAUAGGUGCUAAUACCGCAUAAGCGCACGAAGCCGCAUGGAUUUGUGUGAAAAACUCCGGUGGUGUAAGAUGGACCCGCGUCUGAUUAGCUUGUUGGCGGGGUAACGGCCCACCAAGGCGACGAUCAGUAGCCGGCCUGAGAGGGUGGACGGCCACAUUGGGACUGAGACACGGCCCAAACUCCUACGGGAGGCAGCAGUGGGGGAUAUUGGACAAUGGGGGGAACCCUGAUCCAGCGACGCCGCGUGAGUGAAGAAGUAUUUCGGUAUGUAAAGCUCUGUCAGCAGGGAAGAAAGAAAUGACGGUACCUGACCAAGAAGCCCCGGCUAACUACGUGCCAGCAGCCGCGGUAAUACGUAGGGGGCAAGCGUUAUCCGGAAUUACUGGGUGUAAAGGGAGCGUAGACGGUUAAGUAAGUCUGGAGUGAAAGGCCGGGGCCCAACCCCGGGACUGCUCUGGAAACUAUUCAACUUGAGUGCAGGAGAGGUAAGCGGAAUUCCUAGUGUAGCGGUGAAAUGCGUAGAUAUUAGGAGGAACACCAGUGGCGAAGGCGGCUUACUGGACUGUAACUGACGUUGAGGCUCGAAAGCGUGGGGAGCAAACAGGAUUAGAUACCCUGGUAGU
RNAcentral lists this ribosomal RNA (668 nucleotides) under uncultured bacterium. RNAcentral describes it as "bacterial SSU rRNA". It matches the Rfam family "Bacterial small subunit ribosomal RNA", at positions 111 to 794 of the family's 1533-position model. The record is from RNAcentral.